Jaculus jaculus (lesser Egyptian jerboa) is the source of this 108-nucleotide small nuclear RNA. Lineage: Eukaryota; Metazoa; Chordata; Mammalia; Rodentia; Dipodidae. The record is from Ensembl.
GUGCUCGCUUCAGCAGCACAUAUACUAAAAUUGGAACACUUACAGAGAAGAUCAGUAUGGCCCUUGUGCAAGGAUGACACACAAAUUCGUGACGCGUUCCAUAUUUUU